GCCUUUUUUUUUUUUUUUUUUUUUUUUUUUGCGUUUUUUUUUUUUUUUUUUUUUUUUUUUUUUUUUUUUUUUUUUUUUUUUUGCGUCAAACCCUGUCUUUUUUUUUUUUUUUUUUUUUUUUUUUUUUUUUUUUUUUUUGCGGUACGCGGGCCUCUCACUGUUGUGGUCUCUCCCGUUGCGGAGCACAGGCUCGGGAUGCGCCGGCUCAGCGGCCAUGGCUCACGGGCCCAGCCGCUCCGCGGCAUGUGGGAUCUUCCCGGACCGGGGCACUAACCCGUGUCCCCUGCAUCGGCAGGUGGACUCUCAACCACUGCACCAACAGGGAA
Orcinus orca (killer whale) is the source of this 326-nucleotide long non-coding RNA. RefSeq lists it as uncharacterized. The record is from RefSeq and is a predicted model, not a curated record. The transcript is spliced from 3 exons. NCBI's taxonomy places the organism in Eukaryota, Metazoa, Chordata, Mammalia, Artiodactyla, Delphinidae.